CUUUUUUUCAUCUUAAUCCUUAAGAUCUAAUAAAAUUAAUUUCCUCUCUGAAACUCUUAAAGUUAGAAUAAAAUAGUGGUUAGGAAUAUGACUGCAUAGAUACUUAUUAGCUAUGUAGCUUGGGGCACAUUAAUAAGCCCCAAUUUCCUCAUCUGCAAAAGUCAGAAUAAUAAUAAAAUUAGAUUAUGUCAUUUUGAGUGUGAAGUGAUUUAUAUAUGUAAGUGCUUAGCUUGCUGCCUGGAAAGUUGUAAGUUCUUAGUAAACAUGAGGUAUUUUUCAAAACUUGGAGUUGGAAUUUGAACCCAGGUCUACCUUUAAUUCCAAGGUCCGUGAACUUUCCACUGUGCCAUGCUCAGCUAGCGUGGCGACAACACUGGCAGCACAUCAGCCUGGACACUCUUUAAAGAGCGUUUAAUGUGUACUUAUUAAGAGUUCACUCCUUGAUAGCCCCAAACUUUCCAUCAUCACUGGCAAGCCAGUGACUGGAAUUCUCUAGUUGUGGCAAUCACCAGUCACGGAAAACAGCUGAGCCUAAGCAGGUGGCUCUGAAGGUGUCAGCAAAGGGGCAUGACCUCUACUUCUGCAGUCAAAAUUCCAAAGUUCCAAUUGUCUUCACGGCACUCUUUUUGCAGGAUGUCGGAUAGUAUCACUUCUCCAGAUUUUCUAGCUUGGCUAGAGUCAGCGACCAGGAGGAUGGUGUUCAGAGAAAGGCUUGGAUGA
This 720-nucleotide long non-coding RNA is filed under the name Oryctolagus cuniculus (rabbit). Its description in RNAcentral is "lncRNA (ENSOCUG00000035090.1)". The record is from RNAcentral. Lineage: Eukaryota; Metazoa; Chordata; Mammalia; Lagomorpha; Leporidae.